This 277-nucleotide ribosomal RNA is filed under the name uncultured bacterium. RNAcentral's name for it is "partial 16S ribosomal RNA". It matches the Rfam family "Bacterial small subunit ribosomal RNA", at positions 32 to 292 of the family's 1533-position model. The record is from RNAcentral.
AAUCAACGCUGGCGGCGUGCCUAACACAUGCAAGUCGAACGCGAAAGUCCCGCAAGGGAUGAGUAGAGUGGCAAACGGGUGAGUAACGCGUGGGUGACCUGCCUUCGAGCGGGGGAUAACGUUUCGAAAGGAACGCUAAUACCGCAUGACAUCCUGCCUUUGAACAGGCAGCGAUCAAAGCCGGGGAUCGCAAGACCUGGCACUCGGAGAGGGGCCCGCGUCCGAUUAGCUAGUUGGUGGGGUAACGGCUCACCAAGGCGACGAUCGGUAGCCGGCC